RNAcentral lists this ribosomal RNA (459 nucleotides) under uncultured bacterium. RNAcentral describes it as "partial 16S ribosomal RNA". It matches the Rfam family "Bacterial small subunit ribosomal RNA", at positions 338 to 795 of the family's 1533-position model. The record is from RNAcentral.
CCUACGGGUGGCAGCAGUGAGGAAUAUUGGUCAAUGGGCGGGAGCCUGAACCAGCCAAGCCGCGUGAGGGAAGAAGGUACAGCGUAUCGUAAACCUCUUUUGUCAGGGAACAAAGGCGGGGACUAGUCCCCGGAUGAGGGUACCUGAAGAAAAAGCAUCGGCUAACUCCGUGCCAGCAGCCGCGGUAAUACGGAGGAUGCGGGCGUUAUCCGGAUUUAUUGGGUUUACAGGGUGCGCAGGCGGCCUGUUAAGUCAGCGGGAAAAGCCCGGGGCUCAACCCCGGCGAGCCGUUGAAACUGGCGGGCUGGAGUUGGAGAGAAGUACGCGGAAUGCGCGGUGUAGCGGUGAAAUGCUUAGAUAUCGCGCAGAACCCCGAUUGCGAAGGCAGCGUACCGGCUCCACACUGACGCUGAGGCACGAAAGCGUGGGUAUCGAACAGGAUUAGAUACCCCGGUAGUC